RNAcentral lists this ribosomal RNA (369 nucleotides) under uncultured organism. RNAcentral's name for it is "bacterial SSU rRNA". It matches the Rfam family "Bacterial small subunit ribosomal RNA", at positions 526 to 896 of the family's 1533-position model. The record is from RNAcentral.
CGUAGGGUGCAAGCGUUAAUCGGAAUUACUGGGCGUAAAGCGUGCGCAGGCGGCUUUGCAAGACAGAUGUGAAAUCCCCGGGCUUAACCUGGGAACUGCAUUUGUGACUGCAUGGCUGGAGUGCGGCAGAGGGGGAUGGAAUUCCGCGUGUAGCAGUGAAAUGCGUAGAUAUGCGGAGGAACACCGAUGGCGAAGGCAAUCCCCUGGGCCUGCACUGACGCUCAUGCACGAAAGCGUGGGGAGCAAACAGGAUUAGAUACCCUGGUAGUCCACGCCCUAAACGAUGUCAACUGGUUGUUGGACGGCUUGCUGUUCAGUAACGAAGCUAACGCGUGAAGUUGACCGCCUGGGGAUACGGCCGCAAGGUUG